GGUUAAUCACUAUGCAUCCUAUAUCAGUGGAGGAAUGAGAUUUCACACAAGAGAGCUUGAGAUGCAAUAAUGGAUUUAAAAUAGUGGGAUUGCUACAAAAAGAUAUGAAGGAGAAGAAGAGAUUGAUUAUUAUGGUAUACUGGUAGAUAUCAUAGAACUGAAGUAUGGGUCCAGUAAUUCUAUAUUUUUGUUUCAGUAUGAAUGGUGG
Molecule: long non-coding RNA, 208 nt
Filed under: Elaeis guineensis (African oil palm)
Lineage: Eukaryota; Viridiplantae; Streptophyta; Magnoliopsida; Arecales; Arecaceae
Description: long non-coding RNA (EGUI_LNC045081)
Source: RNAcentral